GGGAAAGUUGACUUUGAAUUAAUGGACUGUAAUCAAGAAGAGGAAGAACUUUUAAUUGUGUGUGUUACUCUCGUACCGUUUGCGCCGAGGACUUUUAUUUACUUUACAGGAAAAAAAACGUGGAAUUUUUGCACGUGCUUUAGUGACUGUCGCACACGUUUCAUCUACUUUCACUUUUUUUUUUUUUUUUUUUUUCAAACGUCUUUCGAUAUACAUUUUUUAAAUGGUUCGUACGAUCAAGUCCGGUUGCGGAGACUCACGUGUCACGUUAUCACAUCGUACUCACGUAAUUACACGUCAAACGCGUGCGACUCUUCUGUAACGGCUCUAGAAAUGAAAAGAAUGGUUUUUCACUGAGGUCUUGUAUACAGAGGACAUUUUGCAGGCGCAGGAAGCUACUGGAAAUUCAGACACUGACAACAAUGCGAAAAACGAUAAAAUAUGGAUCACUUCCGGUACGGAUGUAAAGUCCGAGCGAUGGAAGUCCAUUUCACGAAGGUACGACAGAGAGCGAAAUAGAUCCAAGACUUGAACCUGAGCUUGGCUUGGUCUUGACGACUGACCGAUUUCAGAUGAUAAAAGAAGAAGACGAAAAGAACAGAAGAUGUUGAAAUUAGCAAAUCUAAGCAAAGCAAAUCAAAUUUUUGUCUCUUUCUCCCUUUUUCCCGCAGUGGUCCUCGGUAACCUAAUCAGGACUGGCUUUAUCUGGUAAUCCACAUUUAAACUUUAACCUGUAGGGGGCUCUUUGUGUCGGUUAAUGUAAGCAUAAAAGAGGAGGCCAGUCUGAAUGACUAAUCAGAUUAAUCAUAUUUCGCAAGACUAAAGAGCUUCUCUAAAAGGGAGCAGAAUUAGGCCUACUUCGAUCUCUGAGGGCGAUUGGGGGAGAAAAGAGAACAAGAAGAAAAGGAAAAAAAACUCGGGCGAAACAAUUGGAACG
Molecule: long non-coding RNA, 937 nt
Organism: Ictalurus punctatus (channel catfish)
Lineage: Eukaryota; Metazoa; Chordata; Actinopteri; Siluriformes; Ictaluridae
Source: Ensembl